Molecule: long non-coding RNA, 545 nt
Filed under: Vitis vinifera (wine grape)
Lineage: Eukaryota; Viridiplantae; Streptophyta; Magnoliopsida; Vitales; Vitaceae
Description: long non-coding RNA (VVIN_LNC002366)
Source: RNAcentral
GGCCAUGCUCGUGCUUCUUCUUCUCCUUCUUCUUCUUCUUCUCCCCAACAGGCCCGUGUUCAUGUCCAUGUCCUUGGAUCUUCUCCAUUAUCCCUCCCUUGUGUUCACCUUGCCCAUAACCCUCUCCCUUGUGUUCACCAUGCCCAUACCCCUGACCCUCUCCUUUGUAUUCACUAUGCCCAUACCCCUGACCCUCUCCUUUGUAUCCACCAUGCCCUUGCCCCUCUCCCUUGUAUCCACCAUGCCCUUGCCCCUCUCCCUUGCGCUUCUCCUCCUCCUCCUUGCGCCCUCCCCCCAUGUGAAGGGUCUCCUCUAUCUUGUGGAUGAUUCCUGCCAUUUUUCUCUCUGUGAAAACCUUGAUCUGAUGUACACAACAAUGGACAACCAACCUCCCUUAUUUAUGGGCAUUCAUAUUCCAACUUAUCUCAACCCUUGUUUCUGAUUCAUGUUCCAUUGCAAUAUCAUGAACGUACACGUGGAUGAUAUUAAAUGCGAAUUUUCUUCUGAUUUUUCCAAGACACGCGGCGGAUCGAGACAGCAUUUCC